Daphnia carinata is the source of this 134-nucleotide small nucleolar RNA. RefSeq annotates it as small nucleolar RNA SNORA17. The transcript has a single exon. The record is from RefSeq and is a predicted model, not a curated record. Lineage: Eukaryota; Metazoa; Arthropoda; Branchiopoda; Diplostraca; Daphniidae.
CUUCUCUCUAUACGCAAUAAUACUUAUUGCUGCGUGCUAAAUGUUCCGCGGCAUUAAUGUAAUAUCUGCGUUGGUGGAUGAGAGAGAAGACAAUGACUUCGUCGUUCUAUUCUGUUGUAUAGAAGUCGAUGAUU